CCUGGUUGAUCCUGCCAGUAGUCAUAUGCUUGUCUCAAAAAUUAAGCCAUGCAUGUGUAAGUAUGAACUACUUUAGAUUAUGAAACUGCGAAUGGCUCAUUAAAUUAGUUAUAGUUUGUUUGAUGGUACGUGCUACUCGGAUAACCGUAGUAAUUCUAGAGCUAAUACUGCACCAAACCCCGACUUCCAGAAGGGAUGCAUUUAUUAGAUAAAAGGCCGAUGCGAGCAUUUGCUCGGCGUCCUGUUGACUCAUGAUAACUCGUCGGAUCGCACGGCCCUAGUGCCGGCGACGCAUCAUUCGAAUUUCUGCCCUAUCAACUUUCGAUGGUAGGAUAGGGGCCUACCAUGGUGGUGACGGGUGACGGAGAAUUAGGGUUUGAUUCCGGAGAGGGAGCCUGAGAGACAGCUACCACAUCCAAGGAAGGCAGUAGGCGCGCAAAUUACCCAAUCCUGCACAGGGAGGUAGUGACAAUAAAUAACAAUACUGGGCUCUUCGAGUUUGGUAAUUGAAAUGAGUACAAUCUAAAUCCCUUAACGCGGAUCCAUUGGAGGGCAAGUCUGGGGCCAGCAGCCGCGGUAAUUCCAGCUCCAAUAGCGUAUAUUUAAGUUGUUGCAGUUAAAAAGCUCGUAGUUGGACCUUGGGUUGGGUCGGUCGGUCCGCUUCACGGUGUGCACCGGCCGGCUCGUCCCUUUUGUCGGUGACACGCUCCUGGCCUUAAUUGACCGGGCCGUGCCUCCACCACUGUUACUUUGAAGAAAUUAGAGUGCUCAAAGCAAGCCCAAGCUCUGGAUACAUUAGCAUGGGAUAACGUCACAGGAUUUCGGUCCUAUUGCGUUGGCCUUCGGGAUCAGAGUAAUGAUUAAGAGGGACAGUCGGGGGCAUUCGUAUUUCAUAGUCAGAGGUGAAAUUCUUGGAUUUAUGAAAGACGAACCACUGUGAAAGCAUUUGCCAAAGGUGUUUUCAUUAAUCUAGAAUGAAAGUUGGGGGCUCGAAGACGCUCAGAUACCAUCCUAGUCUCAACCAUAAACGAUGCCGACCAGAGAUCGACGGAUGUUGCUCUUAGGACUCCGCCGGCACCUUUUGAGAAAUCAAACUUUUUGGGUUCAUUGAAAGUCGGCCGUAGCCUAUGCAUUAAGAAAGCAAAUAUCAAGUACAAGAUAAGCAAUCCUUAAGAAGGAUUGCACAAAAAUCUGUUGGGAGGGACAUAUCCCAACCCCAACUAACAUCUGAGGAAAGCGCAAAAGAAGCAAUGUAGUCGGCAGCCAAGUUGGCUUGCCUAUAUACAAAUGCUGUUAAAGCUGCCGAAUUCAAAAAAAUGCGGACCAAUCUUGCCCAAAUUUGAGCAGAGCUAAGUUUAUUAUUACACCAAGUAUAACAAGGUCCAUCAUCCCAACUAUCAUGCAAAUCAUUUGAAGUAAUCCAAGCAGCAAAUUCAUUAACAGCAGGAGUAUUCGGAAAGGGCUUCCCACCUUUCUUAUUCUCUUGUAACAGAAUGCAAUUAAAAUCACCAGCUGUAAUUACAGGAGUUGUAUCAGUUAAGUAGGUAGAAAUACCUUCUCAAAUAUGAAGG
This 1571-nucleotide ribosomal RNA is filed under the name Apostasia shenzhenica. Its description in RNAcentral is "SSU rRNA". The stretch from base 2 to 1108 matches the Rfam family "Eukaryotic small subunit ribosomal RNA", at positions 4 to 1116 of the family's 1831-position model. Lineage: Eukaryota; Viridiplantae; Streptophyta; Magnoliopsida; Asparagales; Orchidaceae. The record is from RNAcentral.